Molecule: ribosomal RNA, 253 nt
Filed under: uncultured bacterium
Lineage: Bacteria
Description: partial 16S ribosomal RNA
Rfam family: Bacterial small subunit ribosomal RNA
Source: RNAcentral
UACGGAGGGGGCUAGCGUUGUUCGGAAUUACUGGGCGUAAAGCGCACGUAGGCGGCUUUGUAAGUUAGAGGUGAAAGCCUGGAGCUCAACUCCAGAAUUGCCUUUAAGACUGCAUCGCUUGAAUCGCGGAGAGGUGAGUGGAAUUCCGAGUGUAGAGGUGAAAUUCGUAGAUAUUCGGAAGAACACCAGUGGCGAAGGCGGCUCACUGGGCGCGUAUUGACGCUGAGGUGCGAAAGCGUGGGGAGCAAACAGG